UACGGAGGGGGCUAGCGUUGUUCGGAAUUACUGGGCGUAAAGCGCACGUAGGCGGACCCUCAAGUUGGGGGUGAAAUCCCGGGGCUCAACCCCGGAACUGCCUCCAAAACUGCUGGUCUGGAGGUCGAGAGAGGUGAGUGGAAUUCCGAGUGUAGAGGUGAAAUUCGUAGAUAUUCGGAGGAACACCAGUGGCGAAGGCGGCUCACUGGCUCGAUACUGACGCUGAGGUGCGAAAGCGUGGGGAGCAAACAGG
This 253-nucleotide ribosomal RNA is filed under the name uncultured bacterium. RNAcentral's name for it is "partial 16S ribosomal RNA". It matches the Rfam family "Bacterial small subunit ribosomal RNA", at positions 524 to 776 of the family's 1533-position model. The record is from RNAcentral.